Molecule: unclassified non-coding RNA, 263 nt
Filed under: plant metagenome
Description: partial contains small subunit ribosomal RNA, internal transcribed spacer 1, and 5.8S ribosomal RNA
Source: RNAcentral
UCUCCGUAGGUGAACCUGCGGAAGGAUCAUUAUUGUAUAACCGAGGUGCGAGGGCUGUCGCUGACCCGAAAGGUCGUGCACGCCCGAGUGCCCUCACACACAUCCAUCUCACCCCUAUGUGCACCACCGCGUGGGUCCCCCUUUGGCUUGUUCGGAGGGGGGCUUACGUUUUCACACAAACUUUGUAUGCAGUGUAGAAUGUAUUUUUUGUUUUUGCGAUCACGCAAUCAAUACAACUUUCAACAACGGAUCUCUUGGUUCUG